RNAcentral lists this long non-coding RNA (638 nucleotides) under Homo sapiens (human). Its description in RNAcentral is "HSALNT0346924". Lineage: Eukaryota; Metazoa; Chordata; Mammalia; Primates; Hominidae. The record is from RNAcentral.
CCCAACCUCUCUCUGACUCAUGCACUCUCGCUUCGGGCUCUCUCACCAUGUGAUGCCUUCUGUCAUGGUAUGAUGCAGCUAGAAGGCCCUCACCAGAUGCAGCCCCUUAAUCCUGGACUUCCUGGCCUCCAGAACUGUGAGCCAAAUAUUAUAUUUGUGGAUUUUCAUAGUUCUUGACUUCUUAUACAAUCGGAGAAUUAGUGGAGGCUGGUUAUAAGUAGUAAGCAUGACUCAAGUUUAAGUCUUGGCCGCAGAAGCGAGAUGAUGAAGGGAACGUCAUCAUUUGGAAAGCAUUGCAAUAAGACGUACACGUUAUGCCACCACUGUGGCUCUAAGGCCUACCACCUUCAGAAGUCGACCUAUGGCAAAUGUGGCUACACUGCCAAGCGCAAGAGAAAGUAUAACUGGAGUACCAAGGCUAAAAGACGAAAUACCACCAGAACUGGUCAAAUGAGGCACCUAAAAAUUGUAUACCAUAGAUUCAGGCAUGGAUUCCGUGAAGGAACAACACCUAAACCCAAGAGGGCAGCUGUUGCAGCAUCCAGUUCAUCUUAAUGUCAACGAUUAGUCAUGCAAUAAAUGUUCUGGUUUUAAAAAAUACAAAAUAAAUAAAUAAAUAAAUAAAAAAUAAAUUAAAA